CGCCCUGUAGCUCAAUGGUGGAGCAAGUGUCUUACAAACACGAGGCUGUAGGUUCAAGUCCUACCGGGGUGACCA
This 75-nucleotide transfer RNA is filed under the name Alkalinema sp. CACIAM 70d. RNAcentral describes it as "tRNA-Val". It matches the Rfam family "tRNA". Rfam says of the family: Transfer RNA (tRNA) molecules are approximately 80 nucleotides in length. Their secondary structure includes four short double-helical elements and three loops (D, anti-codon, and T loops). Further hydrogen bonds mediate the characteristic L-shaped molecular structure. tRNAs have two regions of fundamental functional importance: the anti-codon, which is responsible for specific mRNA codon recognition, and the 3' end, to which the tRNAs corresponding amino acid is attached (by aminoacyl-tRNA synthetases). tRNAs cope with the degeneracy of the genetic code in two manners: having more than one tRNA (with a specific anti-codon) for a particular amino acid; and 'wobble' base-pairing, i.e. permitting non-standard base-pairing at the 3rd anti-codon position. The record is from RNAcentral. Lineage: Bacteria; Bacillati; Cyanobacteriota; Cyanophyceae; Leptolyngbyales; Leptolyngbyaceae.